GGCGGUGGUGGUGGGCACGGUGUUUCUUUCGGUGUCGGUGGUGGUGGCGGUGGAGGACAUGGAGUUUCCGGUGGUGGUUUUGGUACGACCGGUGGUUUUGGUGGUGGUUCGACUGUCGGUGGUUUUGGCAUGAUCGGAGGUUUGGGUAUGAUUGGAGGAUGGAUAACGGGUGGAUUAGGUAUGAUUGGAGGAUGGACAACGGGUGGAUUAGGUAUGAUUGGAGGAUGGAUAACCGGUGGAUUAGGUAUGAUUGGAGGAUGGAUAACCGGUGGAUUAGGUAUGGUCGGGGGAUACACAAUCGGAGGGUGCACAAUUGGAGGUUUAGGUACGGUUGGUGGUUCGACUACCGGAGGUUUUGGCUCGACGGGCGGUGGUUUUGGGACGUACGGUGGUGGAUUUACGACGACCGGAGGAUGUGGCGUGGAGGAGGGCGGUGGUUUCAUUACCGGCGGGUGUUUCGGAGGCAAAUGUGGCGGUAGCUUUGGUGGAUUGAUUGGAGGAGUUGGGU
RNAcentral lists this long non-coding RNA (508 nucleotides) under Erythranthe guttata (spotted monkey flower). Its description in RNAcentral is "long non-coding RNA (EGUT_LNC000418)". Lineage: Eukaryota; Viridiplantae; Streptophyta; Magnoliopsida; Lamiales; Phrymaceae. The record is from RNAcentral.